CUUUGUAUUAGCAUUCUUCUAAGCUACAUUGUUGGAUGAUGACAGAUAAAAUUGGCAGCAAUUGUAAGGAUUAGCUUUAGAGGGAAGAUGAAGAUGAUUAAUGUAUUAUCUUAUGUUUCUCUAGGGUUCAUUUUUAUGCUUAUGGGAACUGCAUUGUUGGAUUGUUUAAUUGUAUUUUCUGAUUUUAUUUCUACAAUCUUUGCUUGAGAAGUAUUUUAUUAGUAUUCCUAGUCACAUUACUGGAUGAUGACAGAUACCAUUGGCAGCAAUAGCAAGGAGAAGAAAAUUACUGAAUGAUGAUGUCAUCGUCUCCUUGGCCGAUAGUUCUUGGGAAAUUCUUGACCUUUCUGGUUCAGAUGUUUCCAAUUUUGGCUUAGCUAAAGUAGCUGAAAUGUGC
This 397-nucleotide long non-coding RNA is filed under the name Gossypium raimondii (Peruvian cotton). RNAcentral describes it as "long non-coding RNA (GRAI_LNC001024)". Lineage: Eukaryota; Viridiplantae; Streptophyta; Magnoliopsida; Malvales; Malvaceae. The record is from RNAcentral.